AUUGAACGCUGGCGGCAUGCCUUACACAUGCAAGUCGAACGGCAGCGGGGGAGAAGCUUGCUUUUCCUGCCGGCGAGUGGCGAACGGGUGAGUAAUACAUCGGAACGUGCCCUGUAGUGGGGGAUAACGAGUCGAUAGAUUAGCUAAUACCGCAUACGACCUGAGGGGGAAAGUGGGGGACCGCAAGGCCUCAUGCUAUAGGAGCGGCCGAUGUCUGAUUAGCUAGUUGGUGGGGUAAAGGCCUACCAAGGAGACGACCAGUAGCUGGGCUGAGAGGACGAUCAGCCACACUGGGACUGAGACACGGCCCAGACUCCUACGGGAGGCAGCAGUGGGGAAUUUUGGACAAUGGGCGAAAGCCUGAUCCAGCAAUGCCGCGUGUGUGAAGAAGGCCUUCGGGUUGUAAAGCACUUUUGUCCGGAAAGAAAUGGCUCUGGUUAAUACCUGGGGUCGAUGACGGUACCGGAAGAAUAAGGACCGGCUAACUACGUGCCAGCCGCCGCGGUAA
This 508-nucleotide ribosomal RNA is filed under the name uncultured bacterium. RNAcentral's name for it is "partial 16S ribosomal RNA". It matches the Rfam family "Bacterial small subunit ribosomal RNA", at positions 29 to 523 of the family's 1533-position model. The record is from RNAcentral.